RNAcentral lists this ribosomal RNA (383 nucleotides) under uncultured eukaryote. Its description in RNAcentral is "partial 18S ribosomal RNA". It matches the Rfam family "Eukaryotic small subunit ribosomal RNA", at positions 592 to 976 of the family's 1831-position model. The record is from RNAcentral.
CAAUAGCGUAUAUUAAAGUUGUUGCGGUUAAAAAGCUCGUAGUUGGAUUUCUGGUAGGAGUGACCGUUCCGAACUUGAUUGUUCGUGUAUUGUGUUUUCUUCAGCCAUCCUUGUGGAGAACUUUUCUUGCAUUAAUUUGUAGGGAUUGGGACCCGCAUCGUUUACUGUGAAAAAAUUAGAGUGUUUAAAGCAGGCAAUCGCUUGAAUACAUUAGCAUGGAAUAAUAAGAUAGGACUUUGGUACUAUUUUGUUGGUUUGCAUACCAAAUUAAUGAUCAACAGGAACAGUUUGAGGAUAUUCGUAUGAACAUGUCAGAGGUGAAAUUCUUGGAUUUUGAUCAGACGAACUACUGCGAAAGCAUUUAUCAAGGAUGUUUUCAUUAA